Molecule: ribosomal RNA, 497 nt
Filed under: uncultured bacterium
Lineage: Bacteria
Description: partial 16S ribosomal RNA
Rfam family: Bacterial small subunit ribosomal RNA
Source: RNAcentral
GAUGAACGCUGGCGGCGUGCCUAAUACAUGCAAGUCGAGCGAACAGACGAGGAGCUUGCUCCUCUGACGUUAGCGGCGGACGGGUGAGUAACACGUGGAUAACCUAUCUAUAAAACUGGGAUAACUUCGGGAAACCGGAGCUAAUACCGGAUAAUAUCUUGAAACGCAUGGUUCAAUAGUGAAAGACGGUUUUGCUGUCACUUAUAGAUGGAUCCGCGCCGCAUUAGCUAGUUGGUAAGGUAACGGCUUACCAAGGCGACGAUGCGUAGCCGACCUGAGAGGGUGAUCGGCCACACUGGAACUGGGACACGGUCCAGACUCCUACGGGAGGCAGCAGUAGGGAAUCUUCCGCAAUGGGCGAAAGCCUGACGGAGCAACGCCGCGUGAGUGAUGAAGGUCUUCGGAUCGUAAAACUCUGUUAUUAGGGAAGAACAAAUGUGUAAGUAACUAUGCACGUCUUGACGGUACCUAAUCAGAAAGCCACGGCUAACUACGUG